CAGUCGCCACGGUAAUACGUAGGUGGCAAGCGUUGUCCGGAAUUAUUGGGCGUAAAGCGCGCGCAGGCGGCCUAUCCAGUCUGUCUUAAAAGUUCGGGGCUCAACCCCGUGAUGGGAUGGAAACUAGUAGGCUAGAGUAUCGGAGAGGAAAGCGGAAUUCCUAGUGUAGCGGUGAAAUGCGUAGGUAUUAGGAAGAACACCAGUGGCGAAGGCGGCUUUCUGGACGAAAACUGACGCUGAGGCGCGAAAGCUAGGGGAGCGAACGGGAUUAGAUACCCCGGUAGUCCCUGUCUCUUAUACA
This 301-nucleotide ribosomal RNA is filed under the name uncultured bacterium. RNAcentral describes it as "partial 16S ribosomal RNA". It matches the Rfam family "Bacterial small subunit ribosomal RNA", at positions 509 to 808 of the family's 1533-position model. The record is from RNAcentral.